Long non-coding RNA from Amphimedon queenslandica, 804 nucleotides. RefSeq lists it as uncharacterized. Lineage: Eukaryota; Metazoa; Porifera; Demospongiae; Haplosclerida; Niphatidae. The transcript is spliced from 5 exons. The record is from RefSeq and is a predicted model, not a curated record.
UUUAUACUUGAUCUGCCCACAAGUCACACAUGGCGUCCAAUAGUGAUGCUGGUUUCAAGGUCUCAGUGGAAUCACUCCAUACUACAAGAGUCAAGGAGAUCAACUAUGAUGGAGAAGAGAUAUAUGAAGGGAGACCUUCUCCCUCUCAGAAACUAAGUAAAUUAGCUCAGCAUGUUGACUUUAGAGAAGAGAGAGCUGAUGAUGAUAAUGACAAAGAAGAAGGAAACAAGAAACGAGGAGGAGGUGGAGGAGGGAGUUUCUGGUCCUACAACUAAGAAACCAAGUCAUCGCUGGCCAUGGGAAUUCACACACUCAAAACUCAAUUUUGUCUAAGCAUUGACUGAAGUUAGUGUACUGUCUGAUGUGUUACAAAUUGUUCAUAAUCAUCAUCAAUACUUGUCACUGGAUCCAGUUUAUGUUAAUAAGAAAUACACAUUACCUCCAUCAUAUCAAUACCAAAUUAAAAAGAAGGCACUUGAUGUAGCUUCCAAGAUAUUAAGAAAAGGAGCUGAGCCACCACUCAAGAGAUUAUCCAGUCAAACUGAUCACAAGUUUUACAGAGCUUUAUAUGAUUUAAAGAGAAGAUGGAUACUACGUAGAACAGCUAAUGGAGUCAGUGGAGACCUCAUCUAUAGAUCAGCUGGUUCAAUAUAUGCUCAGUCUGUUCAGUUUGAGGUUCAUAAAGGAAUUGAAGGUAUUAAUGAUAUACUGUCAGUAGUGGUACCUCAAGAAUUAAGAGGAAGGAGUGAAGUAGUUAUGUUCCUAGCAGACAGACCUAUUAAAGGUAAUGGUAUGUCACAUGAC